Long non-coding RNA from Metopolophium dirhodum (rose-grain aphid), 1203 nucleotides. RefSeq lists it as uncharacterized. NCBI's taxonomy places the organism in Eukaryota, Metazoa, Arthropoda, Insecta, Hemiptera, Aphididae. The transcript has 5 exons. The record is from RefSeq and is a predicted model, not a curated record.
UUGAAGCAGGCACGGUAACAGGCUCUUACAUUAUCGCAUCGGUCAACUUGCUUAUAAUACCGAUAUCGACCGUAAUCACACGUAUCAAGACAUUCGUUUGUAUAAUACUCAUACGGAGCAAAAGUUUACGUUAUAUGUUUGGUUGUUUUAUCGGUACAAUGUGUAAUAUUGUCAAUAAUUUUUUGUUUGUUUGCUAUAAUUUGUGUACAAUUUUCUAUUCGCCCAAACACCCGCCUCCGCAAUCGCACCCAAAUAUGUUGCAAGAUCCGACGCCACAAUAAUGACCGUUCGUCACACUACCAUCGCCUGCACAUAUACCCGCUUCGUAUGAUUUUCGCGGAUUAUCUAUGGCUACAUUACACAAUGCGUGAUCACCCAAUUUUUCAGCGCCUAAUACACUUUUUGCUUCACGACAUUCAGAAGUGACUUGAACGAUACAAUAUGCAACAACAACAGCAGUCGACAUUAGUAAGAGUAAUCCUGGAACCAAUGUUUUGAGAAUCGAAAAAUGUGUGCGUGUUUAUGAAAAAUCGAUCGAUGCUAACUAUAUUCGCAUACGUACCUGUGAACCCAGUAGUUUGAAUAUACAAUGUUAGGUACCUCAACUCGACGUUGCUGUAUGUUCGGUCCAAUAAUAACAAUGGCGUAUCAGACAUCGCUCCCAAACCGGUCGACAUCCAUCUGCAUAACUGUUCAGUUGUAACAGCAUUUUAGGGGCUAUUGUAAUUCCCACUUCCAGGACUUUAUCAUACAUACAGCCGACAGCCCGAUGACCUACAUUAUUGUGUAUUCUGGUCUACCCUAUGAUGGCCGCGAAGUAACGAUCACGUCACCGUUUAUCAGAUUGCCCAGUUUGAAAGAGUCUCCAACAAUUUCAUCGGAUAGGUACGCCAUAAACCGUGGCAUAGCGCUGGGCCAGCAUCAUUUUGUCCGGAUCAAUAUCUACAAAAAUGACGUCCCAAUUAUUAGAAGCUAAUAAUAUAGUGUCUUUGUCGAACAGUCAGCUGUACGAAGUUUCCGCUGUGCCACAAAACGGUUCGACGCCGGUCGCUGAACAUGGGAAGUCCUCAAGUCCACCCAGCAUCGUAUUGAUGAAUCAACAAUACAUCUUACACCUAACAUCUUACAUCUUACAUCUAUCAUUGCAAUCUUAUAAUUAUUCACCUGAAUGCAGUAAUCCUGAAUGUACAGUUAAUUUAUUAC